CCUACGGGAGGCAGCAGUGGGGAAUAUUGGACAAUGGGCGAAAGCCUGAUCCAGCAAUGCCGCGUGAGUGAUGAAGGCCUUAGGGUUGUAAAGCUCUUUUACCAGGGAUGAUAAUGACAGUACCUGGAGAAUAAGCUCCGGCUAACUCCGUGCCAGCAGCCGCGGUAAUACGGAGGGAGCUAGCGUUGUUCGGAAUUACUGGGCGUAAAGCGUACGUAGGCGGUUAUUCAAGUCAGAGGUGAAAGCCUGGAGCUCAACUCCAGAACUGCCUUUGAAACUAGAUAGCUAGAAUCUUGGAGAGGUGAGUGGAAUUCCGAGUGUAGAGGUGAAAUUCGUAGAUAUUCGGAAGAACACCAGUGGCGAAGGCGACUCACUGGACAAGUAUUGACGCUGAGGUACGAAAGCGUGGGGAGCAAACAGGAUUAGAUACCCUGGUAGUCCACGCCGUAAACGAUGAUAACUAGCUGUUCGGGCUCUACGAGCUUGAGUGGCGCAGCUACGACAUUAAGUUAUCCGUCCGUCGGGAGGUACGGUCGCGAAGAAUUAAACUAACAAAGAAAGUUAGACGGCGUGAGACGUGCCGAACGGACGACGACGAGGGAGGUAGG
This 608-nucleotide ribosomal RNA is filed under the name uncultured bacterium. RNAcentral's name for it is "bacterial SSU rRNA". The stretch from base 1 to 518 matches the Rfam family "Bacterial small subunit ribosomal RNA", at positions 338 to 873 of the family's 1533-position model. The record is from RNAcentral.